RNAcentral lists this ribosomal RNA (253 nucleotides) under uncultured bacterium. Its description in RNAcentral is "partial 16S ribosomal RNA". It matches the Rfam family "Bacterial small subunit ribosomal RNA", at positions 524 to 776 of the family's 1533-position model. The record is from RNAcentral.
UACGGGGGGUGCGAGCGUUGUCCGGAAUCACUGGGCGUAAAGCGCGCGCAGGCGGUCUUCCAAGUCAGUGGUGAAAGCCCGGAGCUCAACUCCGGAAUUGCCAUUGAAACUGUUAGACUUGAGGAUGAGAGAGGUGAGUGGAAUUCCCAGUGUAGAGGUGAAAUGCGUAGAUAUCGGAAGGAACACCUGUGGCGAAAGCGGCUCACUGGACCAUUACUGACGCUGAGGCACGAAAGCUAGGGGAGCAAACAGG